CACCUGGUGAGUCUUCGUGUUCCUUGAGGAGUGGAGUCCUGUGACCAAAUUAUUCUGCUCUGCGGAAUUUAGAAUUUCAGCUGAUGAUGGGGCAGAUCCUGACUGUGAAUGUGUGAAGCAGUGGAAGACACCUGUGAGAUCCUAGCUGUGUCCCCAAGGUCAGAAUCAAGGACUUCAAGCAACUCGUAGAGUGAUAAUGGAAAUUACUGCUGAACCCAGCUCCACAGCAGCCAUGUCACUGGCACAUGCGAAGGGAGAAAAGUCCUUAUUCCAGCAGGAAAGAUCGAAAAAGAAAGAACCAACAGCUUGAAAUUCUACAAUGAAAGAGGAGGGAGAUUUCAAAGGAACCCGAAGAAAACUUGCAUCUAGCUCAGUGAGAAUGCCUUAGGUCUGGACUUCACCUAUUUCUUUGCAGAAAACAACUUAGUGCUGCAACUGUAACAACUACUUUAAACAAAGGGACUACUAAAAUUUGCUUUAUCAUCAGAAGGCAAUGACUGGCCGCCAGGAAGCGCAGGAAGCAGUGGGGUGC
Cuculus canorus (common cuckoo) is the source of this 532-nucleotide long non-coding RNA. RefSeq lists it as uncharacterized. Lineage: Eukaryota; Metazoa; Chordata; Aves; Cuculiformes; Cuculidae. The record is from RefSeq and is a predicted model, not a curated record. The transcript is spliced from 3 exons.